UACAGAGGGUGCAAGCGUUGUUCGGAAUUACUGGGCGUAAAGCGCGUGUAGGCGGCUAUGCAAGUCGGAUGUGAAAGCCCUCGGCUCAACCGGGGAAGUGCACCCGAAACUGCAAAGCUAGAGUCUCGGAGAGGAUCGUGGAAUUCUCGGUGUAGAGGUGAAAUUCGUAGAUAUCGGGAGGAACACCAGUGGCGAAGGCGGCUUCCUGGCCUGUUCUUGACGCUGAGGCGCGAAAGCUAGGGUAGCAAACGGG
This 253-nucleotide ribosomal RNA is filed under the name uncultured bacterium. RNAcentral describes it as "partial 16S ribosomal RNA". It matches the Rfam family "Bacterial small subunit ribosomal RNA", at positions 524 to 776 of the family's 1533-position model. The record is from RNAcentral.